This 253-nucleotide ribosomal RNA is filed under the name uncultured bacterium. Its description in RNAcentral is "partial 16S ribosomal RNA". It matches the Rfam family "Bacterial small subunit ribosomal RNA", at positions 524 to 776 of the family's 1533-position model. The record is from RNAcentral.
UACGGGGGGAGCAAGCGUUGUUCGGAUUUACUGGGCGUAAAGGGCGCGUAGGCGGCGCAACAAGUCACUUGUGAAAUCCCUGGGCUCAACCCAGGAACUGCGUCCGAUACUGGCAGGCUUGAAUCCGGGAGAGGGAUGCGGAAUUCCAGGUGUAGCGGUGAAAUGCGUAGAUAUCUGGAGGAACACCGGUGGCGAAGGCGGCAUCCUGGACCGGCAUUGACGCUGAGGCGCGAAAGCCAGGGGAGCAAACGGG